AUUGAACGCUGGCGGAAUGCUUUACACAUGCAAGUCGAACGGCAGCACGGGGCAACCUGGUGGCGAGUGGCGAACGGGUGAGUAAUACAUCGGAACGUGCCCAAUCGUGGGGGAUAACGUAGCGAAAGUUACGCUAAUACCGCAUACGAUCUACGGAUGAAAGCGGGGGAUCGCAAGACCUCGCGCGAAUGGAGCGGCCGAUGUCAGAUUAGGUAGUUGGUGGGGUAAAGGCUCACCAAGCCGACGAUCUGUAGCUGGUCUGAGAGGACGACCAGCCACACUGGGACUGAGACACGGCCCAGACUCCUACGGGAGGCAGCAGU
RNAcentral lists this ribosomal RNA (323 nucleotides) under uncultured bacterium. Its description in RNAcentral is "bacterial SSU rRNA". It matches the Rfam family "Bacterial small subunit ribosomal RNA", at positions 30 to 355 of the family's 1533-position model. The record is from RNAcentral.